This 2263-nucleotide unclassified non-coding RNA is filed under the name Hevea brasiliensis (rubber tree). The record is from RNAcentral. Lineage: Eukaryota; Viridiplantae; Streptophyta; Magnoliopsida; Malpighiales; Euphorbiaceae.
CCCCAAACUGUAGCAAACAGCAUAUAAAACACUGGAGGGAAAAUCAGUUAGUCUCCGCUCUCCUCCGGUGCAGUCCAAAUUCCCAAAGUCUCCGGAAGGAAGAGAUAGAGGGAGGACAUGGGUAAUCCCUCUUUCUCCCUCAGAUUCGCCGUAUUUCUCUCGUUCUCUGUCGCAGCUUCGUCUUCCUCUCAGUUCUAUUUCUUCCAAAAAUCACGCUCACCAUUCCCUUCUUCACCUCCAAUCCCUAAAGCCACACCCUCCGAUUUGCUCUCCGUCUUAGGCCCCGCCAAUCAAUCCUCCAAAAUCAAUCCUGUCGUAUCGCAAGAACUCAUAUCCUGCUUCAAAUUCCUUGUUCCCUUCAUUCCUCCAAACACCAAACCUCAGAAUCAACACUCUUACGCUUGCGCUAAUCGAAAACUCGCAUCAGAACAUAUCAUCCAUGUUAGAAACCUGAGAGAAGAGAAUGAGCUUAUUUGGUGGCCGCCUGAACCAGUUCUGGAGCUGGCUCGCCUUGCCGUUGACUCUGGCAGCGAUCCUGACGCAAUCCAUCGAGUUCUGGAUCCUACGGUCUUACCUAUUCCUGAUGUUGAAGGAUCAAAAGAAAAUCGAUGUGAGCUCACUAGAACGCCAUAUGGGAGGCGUUUCAUAAGUCAGGAGUUGAAUUCUUAUCUCAAAUUUUUAUUUGAAGUGAUUGCUGCUCGAGGUCCCUCGAUUGGGCUGGAUGUUUCAUUGAAUCGCUAUGAUUUCUUUCAUGGUCACCUCUUCCUUGCUACAAAAACAGGAAGGCUUGGUAUAUUGUUUCAUGCUAAAGAAUACCCAGCUUAUGAUAAAGAAGUAUUUCCAUACAAUAUGGGAUAUUGUCAAAAAGGUUCUACUGUAACUUAUGAUGAUUCAAUGAAUUUUCGGAACAUUCUCUGGCUUGCACCUUUUCCAAGCAAGUCCUCUAAAGCUUGGGAGGCACCGGGAGUCCUUGUUGUGCUGGAUGCCCGUCCAGGAGGAAUCAUAUACCGAGAUCUCAUUCCUCAAUAUGUAAAUUUUGCAAGGACCAUAUAUGAAGAUGAUUUUGGAGAUGUUGUUGUUGAUGUCAAUUACUUGAAUGUCGGAGGGACAGUUCCCAGUUAUGAGAUCUUCAUAUGCUGAAUCCUUCAGGUAGGCAGCUCUUCUCUUUUUUGACUUGUUAGAUAGUGGUAUGUUGUACCCCUGCAUUUUUGUCAUUUUUUCCCUGUUCUCUUUAGGUGGUAUAUUUUGUAUGGUCGAAAUACAAGUUUUAAUCCCUGGGACAUUCUCUUGGAGACAUUAUUUAUCUUUUCCAAAAGUUGCAUUACCAGUUCGACUUUGCAUCCGUGCCUAAUUGCAAUCCCCAAGACUAUGAAUACAUGAUAACCAGGUGUUUUCCGCCGGUGAUAAUUAUAUGAUGACCACAGGGUGGGCAAUUGAUAGAAGAACCAAGGAAAAAAAAAUCAGGGUCUGCAUGAAAGAGAUGCAGAAAAUGAUAUUGCAUUUCAAGUGAACAAAAAGCAGCACCGUUGGAAAGCACAGCUGCGUCAAAUUUGUCAAGUAUGCAUUUUAUGCUGAUUACUGAGAUGUGAUUUUAUGUGAUGGAUAUAAAACGGGGGACAAGAAAGCCAUGGUUGACAUGAGCUUAUUAGAAUCUUAGCGCCAUUGGAUUAGCAGGCAUGGAUUAAAGGGUGAUUUACCCUGAGAUCCCCAGGGUUGGCUAUAAUUCAUUAUUUAGUUGGUCUCUGAAUUUUGACAAUUACAUUAAAAGGUCCUUAUAAUUUAAUUCCAUUGACAUCCAUUAAUUUUCUUAUGCUUCUGCCGUUAGUCAGUAUAUAUAUUUAUAUAAAAAGAGAGAGAGAGAGAGUGCAGACCCUAGGGAGCUUAGGGUAAUUCGUCCAUGACUAUAUGAUUUUACUAGAAUGUGGUAGAAGGUUUUCAUCUGUCCACCAUUUCCAAUUAAUUUGUGAGAAGUCGAUACCUAGUUGGCAUCAAGUUGUGUGCAGCUUGGCCAGUGCUAAGUCUAAAUCUGUGACAAUGGUCCACAUAUCAAGUAAACAGAAAUCAGAAUAUCAGAAUGUAUCUUGUCUCUUAUCAACAUCUUCCGUUAUUCAGUCUAUAGAAAAUGAAUGAUUCUUCUACAGACAACUUAAAUGUAAAGCAACAAUUUUCAUGAUUUUGAGUUAUGUUAUUAAUUGAUUGAAAUUGAUUUCAAUUUUACAAAGGGGAGUCAAAAGAUGAUUCAAUUUUAAAAUUUUAUGCAAAU